CCUACGGGAGGCAGCAGUGAGGAAUAUUGGUCAAUGGUCGGGAGACUGAACCAGCCAAGCCGCGUGAGGGAUGAAGGUACAGAGUAUCGUAAACCUCUUUUGUCAGGGAACAAAGGCGGGGACGCGUCCCCGGAUGAGUGUACCUGAAGAAAAAGCAUCGGCUAACUCCGUGCCAGCAGCCGCGGUAAUACGGAGGAUGCGAGCGUUAUCCGGAUUUCUUGGGUUUAAAGGGUGCGCAGGCGGUCUGUUAAGUCAGCGGUGAAAGCACCGGGCCCAACCCCGGGCCGGCCGUUGAACUGGGCAGGCUCGAGUUGGAGAGAAGUAUGCGGAAUGCGAGGUGGAGCGGUGAAAUGCAUAGAGAUCGCGCAGAACUCCGAUUGCGAAGGCAGCAUGCCGGCUCCACACUGACGCUGAGGCACGAAAGCGUGGGUAUCGAACAGGAUUAGAUACCCGAGUAGUC
RNAcentral lists this ribosomal RNA (460 nucleotides) under uncultured bacterium. RNAcentral describes it as "partial 16S ribosomal RNA". It matches the Rfam family "Bacterial small subunit ribosomal RNA", at positions 338 to 795 of the family's 1533-position model. The record is from RNAcentral.